RNAcentral lists this long non-coding RNA (260 nucleotides) under Ananas comosus (pineapple). Its description in RNAcentral is "long non-coding RNA (ACOM_LNC003751)". Lineage: Eukaryota; Viridiplantae; Streptophyta; Magnoliopsida; Poales; Bromeliaceae. The record is from RNAcentral.
AAAGCUGUAGUUUGCAGAUUUUUGAUUCUGUAGCUCUCGAAAAUCUCUCACAAUGCACUUUACUCAUUUUAACGCCUUCGGUAUUUCCAAAGCAUACCAACCUCGCACUUUGGUCAAUUUGACUAAAGUUUGAUAUUCGUUCACCGAAGUUUCGGUAUAUUACAUUCUCCACCCCUUAAAAUAAUUUCGUCCGCGAAAUUACACAUACCUUAACUCGUCGACUCAAAUAGAUGCGGAUACUCUCUCCGCAUGGUCUCCUC